This 74-nucleotide transfer RNA is filed under the name Planctomycetota bacterium. RNAcentral describes it as "Planctomycetes bacterium tRNA-Leu". It matches the Rfam family "tRNA". From Rfam's summary of the family: Transfer RNA (tRNA) molecules are approximately 80 nucleotides in length. Their secondary structure includes four short double-helical elements and three loops (D, anti-codon, and T loops). Lineage: Bacteria; Pseudomonadati; Planctomycetota. The record is from RNAcentral.
GGCUUGGUAGGCAAUCGGCAGACCACUCUCGCUUAGAACGAGAGAUGCUGUGGGUUCGAGUCCCACCUGAGCCG